UAAUUUGUCCCACUUGCUUUUGGAUUAUUGGACCUCGGCUCCUGCUAGUACCGGGCAUUGCAGUCUGUAAAUAUUCUCUGCAAAAACUGCAAAUGCACAAUUCUUCAGCGUGUGUACGUGUGUGUGUGUGUAUUUCUGUACAUUGGAACAGAAUCGAUCCUUGUAAAUUUUGCUGUAUAUAAACUUUUUUUUUUU
Molecule: small RNA, 195 nt
Filed under: Oryza sativa Japonica Group (Japanese rice)
Lineage: Eukaryota; Viridiplantae; Streptophyta; Magnoliopsida; Poales; Poaceae
Description: sRNA Os09g0376350
Source: RNAcentral